GUGCCAGCAGCCGCGGUAAUACGUAGGCAGCAAGCGUUGUUCGGAGUUACUGGGCGUAAAGAGUGUGUAGGCGGUCCUCUAAGUUCGGUGUGAAAUCUCCCGGCUCAACUGGGAGGGUGCGCCGGAAACUGGAGGGCUCGAGUAUGGGAGAGGGAAGCGGAAUUCCUGGUGUAGCGGUGAAAUGCGUAGAUAUCAGGAGGAACACCUGCGGUGUAGACGGCUUCCUGGACCAUGACUGACGCUGAGACACGAAAGCGUGGGGAGCAAACAGGAUUAGAAACCCCUGUAGUCC
RNAcentral lists this ribosomal RNA (292 nucleotides) under uncultured bacterium. RNAcentral's name for it is "partial 16S ribosomal RNA". It matches the Rfam family "Bacterial small subunit ribosomal RNA", at positions 505 to 796 of the family's 1533-position model. The record is from RNAcentral.